AUAUCUCUCCGUACGGGAAGGAUGAGAAGCUUCGACUAAGGUUCGAUUCGAGCGAAAGCGAGAAAGCGUUGCCAACGGCAACG
Molecule: small RNA, 83 nt
Filed under: Salmonella enterica
Lineage: Bacteria; Pseudomonadati; Pseudomonadota; Gammaproteobacteria; Enterobacterales; Enterobacteriaceae
Description: partial RtT sRNA
Rfam family: RtT RNA
About the family: This family represents a bacterial cis-regulatory element known as RtT RNA. The exact function of RtT is unknown although it is thought that it may be involved in changing the cellular response in relation to amino acid starvation.
Source: RNAcentral